This 491-nucleotide ribosomal RNA is filed under the name uncultured bacterium. Its description in RNAcentral is "bacterial SSU rRNA". It matches the Rfam family "Bacterial small subunit ribosomal RNA", at positions 28 to 511 of the family's 1533-position model. The record is from RNAcentral.
GAUGAACGCUAGCUACAGGCUUAACACAUGCAAGUCGAGGGGUAGCACGGAAGAAGCUUGCUUCUUUGGGUGACGACCGGCGCACGGGUGAGUAACGCGUAUCCGACCUACCCAUAACUCGGGCACAGCCGCUCGAAAGAGCGAUUGAUUCCCGAUAUGUCUUUAGAGUAGAUCUAAUGAUGAAAGAUUCAUCGGUUAUGGAUGGGGAUGCGUUCCAUUAGAUAGUCGGUGAGGUAACGGCUCACCGAGUCUAUGAUGGAUAGGGGUUCUGAGAGGAAGGUCCCCCANAUUGGAACUGAGACACGGUCCAAAACUCCUACGGGAGCAGCAGUGAGGAAUAUUGGUCAAUGGACGAGAGUCUGAACCAGCCAUGUCGCGUGAAGGACGACGGUCCUAUGGAUUGUAAACUUCUUUUAUAUGGGAAUAAAGUGUGGGACGUGUCCCAUUUUGUAUGUACCAUUAUGAAUAAGCAUCGGCUAACUCCGUGCCAG